GUGGGCACUCUAAGGAGACUGCCGGUGACAAACCGGAGGAAGGUGGGGAUGACGUCAAGUCAUCAUGGCCCUUACGGCCUGGGCUACACACGUGCUACAAUGGUCGGUACAAAGGGUUGCCAAGCCGCGAGGUGGAGCUAAUCCCAUAAAACCGAUCGUAGUCCGGAUCGCAGUCUGCAACUCGACUGCGUGAAGUCGGAAUCGCUAGUAAUCGUGAAUCAGAAUGUCCACGGUCGAAUACGUUCCCGGGCCUU
This 254-nucleotide ribosomal RNA is filed under the name uncultured Pseudomonas sp. RNAcentral's name for it is "partial 16S ribosomal RNA". It matches the Rfam family "Bacterial small subunit ribosomal RNA", at positions 1131 to 1382 of the family's 1533-position model. Lineage: Bacteria; Pseudomonadati; Pseudomonadota; Gammaproteobacteria; Pseudomonadales; Pseudomonadaceae. The record is from RNAcentral.